This 454-nucleotide ribosomal RNA is filed under the name uncultured Scutellospora. RNAcentral describes it as "SSU rRNA". It matches the Rfam family "Eukaryotic small subunit ribosomal RNA", at positions 569 to 1033 of the family's 1831-position model. Lineage: Eukaryota; Fungi; Glomeromycota; Glomeromycetes; Diversisporales; Gigasporaceae. The record is from RNAcentral.
AGCAGCCGCGGUAAUUCCAGCUCCAAUAGCGUAUAUUAAAGUUGUUGCAGUUAAAAGCUCGUAGUUGAAUUUUCGGGGUUCCACCGUUGGUCGGCUAUUGUCUGUACUGGCGUGUGGAAUUUCUACCUUCUGGGGAACUAUCAUGUUAUUAAUUUAGCGUGGUAGGAAACCAGGACCUUUACCUUGAAAAAUUAGAGUGUUCAAAGCAGGCUUAUGUCUGAAUACAUUAGCAUGGAAUAAUAAAAUAGGACGGCGGUCCUGUUUUGUUGGUUUCUGAAUCACCGUAAUGAUUAAUAGGGAUAGUUGGGGGCAUUAGUAUUCAAUUGUCAGAGGUGAAAUUCUUGGAUUUAUUGAAGACUAACUACUGCGAAAGCAUUUGCCAGGAUGUUUUCAUUAAUCAAGAACGAAAGUUAGGGGAUCGAAGACGAUCAGAUACCGUCGUAGUCUUAACCAU